Long non-coding RNA from Alosa sapidissima (American shad), 106 nucleotides. RefSeq lists it as uncharacterized. The transcript has 3 exons. NCBI's taxonomy places the organism in Eukaryota, Metazoa, Chordata, Actinopteri, Clupeiformes, Clupeidae. The record is from RefSeq and is a predicted model, not a curated record.
GCCUGAAAGUUAUUUGCUGAUCAUAUAACUGCUUAAAUCCAGCUUGCUCCAAAACGAAUACAAAUGUGUGAAUGCUGCAAUAAUAGAUGUCCAGGUUAACCUGUGC